GGAAGUCGAAGGCAAUAACAGGUCUGUGAUGCCCUACGAUGCUCUGGGCCGCACGCGCGCUACACUGACCCGGUCAGCGAGUUCAUCCUGACUUCGAGAGAGUUGGGUAAUCUUGGAAACCGGGUCGUGAUGGGGAUAGAUUCUUGCAAUUUUUGAUCUUCAACGAGGAAUUCCUAGUAAACGCAAGUCAUCAGCUUGCAUUGAUUACGUCCCUGCCCUUUGUACACACCGCCCGUCGCACCUACCGAUUGAAUGAUCCGGUGAAAUCUUCGGAUCAGAAAUCAUUUGACUGUAAAAGGUCAUGGUUUCUGAGAAGUUGAGUAAACCUUAUCAUUUAGAGGAAGGUGAAGUCGUAACAAGGUUUCCGUAGGUGAACCUGCAGAAGGAUCAA
RNAcentral lists this ribosomal RNA (391 nucleotides) under Nerada sp. RNAcentral's name for it is "SSU rRNA". It matches the Rfam family "Eukaryotic small subunit ribosomal RNA", at positions 1439 to 1829 of the family's 1831-position model. Lineage: Eukaryota; Bigyra; Bicosoecida; Siluaniidae. The record is from RNAcentral.